Molecule: small RNA, 726 nt
Filed under: Histoplasma ohiense
Lineage: Eukaryota; Fungi; Ascomycota; Eurotiomycetes; Onygenales; Ajellomycetaceae
Description: hypothetical lncRNA
Source: RNAcentral
AUCUAUCGCUGCCAACCUAUCUAUCGCUGCCAAUUUAUCUACCACUGCCAAUCUAUCUAUCGCUGCCAAUCUAUUGCUGCUAAUCUAUCGCUGCUAAUCUAUCGCUGCUGCCAAUCUAUCUUUCGCUGCUAAUCUAUCGCCGCUGCCAAUCUAUCCCUCGCUGCUAAGCUAUCGCCGCUGCCAAUCUAUCCCUCGCUGCUAAGCUAUCCCUCGCUGCUAAGCUAUCCCUCACUGCUAAGCUAUCCCUCGCUGCUAAGCUAUCCCUCACUACUAAGCUAUCUAUCACUGCUAAUCUAUCGCUGCCAACCUAUCUAUCACUGCCAAUCUAUCUAUCGCUGCUAAUCUAUCGCUGCUAAUCUAUCGCUGCUAAUCUAUCGCUGCUAAUCUAUCGCUGCUAAUCUAUCGCUGCCAACCUAUCUAUCGCUGCCAAUUUAUCUACCACUGCCAAUCUAUCUAUUGCUGCUAAUCUAUCGCUGCUGUCAAUCUAUCUAUCGCUGCUAAUCUAUCUACCGCGGCGAAUCUAUCUAUCACUAUCAUUACUAGUUCAAAAUAGAACUAGAGCAUAAAUACACUAAACUUCUUUUGAUAGGUAAUGAUUUUUGGUAACGCUCAUAGCAUUAUAUCAUCUAUAUAGGGUAAAUCAUGGUCCCAUUUGGUCCCAUUUUAACAAAAUGGGACCAAAUGGGACCAGAAUCAGUAAUUUAUAAGAAGAACAUGACCUGGGAC